This 254-nucleotide ribosomal RNA is filed under the name uncultured bacterium. RNAcentral's name for it is "partial 16S ribosomal RNA". It matches the Rfam family "Bacterial small subunit ribosomal RNA", at positions 524 to 776 of the family's 1533-position model. The record is from RNAcentral.
UACAGAGGGUGCGAGCGUUGUCCGGAAUCACUGGGCGUAAAGGGCGCGUAGGUGGUGGCUUAAGCGUGCGGUGAAAGCUCGGGGCUCAACUCCGAGUCGGCCGUGCGAACUGGGCUCACUGGAGCAUAGUAGAGGCAGGUGGAAUUCCGGGUGUAGCGGUGGAAUGCGUAGAGAUCCGGAAGAACACCGGUGGCGAAGGCGGCCUGCUGGGUUAUGACUGACACUGAGGCGCGACAGCGUGGGGAGCAAACAGG